This 176-nucleotide ribosomal RNA is filed under the name uncultured bacterium. RNAcentral's name for it is "partial 16S ribosomal RNA". It matches the Rfam family "Bacterial small subunit ribosomal RNA", at positions 1327 to 1500 of the family's 1533-position model. The record is from RNAcentral.
UGGAAUCGCUAGUAAUCGCGGAUCAGAAUGCCGCGGUGAAUACGUUCCCGGGUCUUGUACACACCGCCCGUCACACCAUGGGAGUCGGAAAUGCCCGAAGUCGGUGACCCAACCGUUUACGGAGGGAGCUGCCGAAGGCAGGUCUGGUGACUGGGGUGAAGUCGUAACAAGGUAUC